CUCUUCUGUCAAUAGUGAAAACGAAACCAUCUGAGGGAAAGGAAGCAAAUACUAUGGCGAAACCCUCGAAGCAACAGGAAUCCUCUGACGAGGCGCUAUCUAGCGGCUCCAAUUCGUCCGAAGAGGAGCAAAUCAACGAACAGAUCAACGAGGAGGACGAGGAGGAGAUAGAAGCCGUGGCUCGCUCCGCUGAUUCCGAUGAUGAUGAAGCUGCUGACGAAACUGGAGACGACGUCAGCGCCGAUGCUGACGAUGUUGACGAGGAUGAAAACAGCAAUGAAAUAAGCAAGCGUGAAAAGCAAAGACUCAAGGAACUGCAGAAAUUGAAGAAGCAGAAGAUUCAGGAGAUGUUGGAUGCACAAAAUGCGGCUAUAGAUGCAGAUAUG
RNAcentral lists this unclassified non-coding RNA (386 nucleotides) under Hevea brasiliensis (rubber tree). Lineage: Eukaryota; Viridiplantae; Streptophyta; Magnoliopsida; Malpighiales; Euphorbiaceae. The record is from RNAcentral.